Molecule: long non-coding RNA, 694 nt
Filed under: Salmo salar (Atlantic salmon)
Lineage: Eukaryota; Metazoa; Chordata; Actinopteri; Salmoniformes; Salmonidae
Description: lncRNA (ENSSSAG00000099382.1, ENSSSAG00020049461.1)
Source: RNAcentral
CAUUGGCUAUGCAUUCAGAUCGCAAUGUCAAUUCUUCCCAGUCUGAUAUGGAUAUGCAAGCGAAUAAACUACAGAUCAACUGGGACCGCUGGUUGACAUUCCUUUCUUGACAAGCAAGAGUUACGAAGCACGAUCACAUCUGUUACAGUGACUGUGAGGAGCUUGUUCAAAGUGGAGAAAAUGCCUUGGAUUCAGAGCAAGCAAUCAUGACUUAAUUAGAAAGCAGCAGGAAUCUUAUGGAUGGCUGAAAGAACCAGAGGUAACUCAUUUCCUGUUUUAGGACUACAAGCUGGUGAUCUCUAUAGCCUCGCUAGCAAGGGAGACACAAGACCAGAGAGACUUUUGAGCGACUCUCGCGUCAAAUUAGCACCCGGCAGAUUCCUGCUACAAAGAACCAGGCAACCGAAAAAGCCUGGAGACAGGCUGAUUGGUGCUGCGAGCCCUACACAGUAUGGUGUCUCGAGCAUGGCUGUAUGUGGGCUCUGGGUCUACCGAACGAACGCCUCUGCCAGUCUGUCUGGAUGUAAACUGUAUUUAAUGGUGUAUGAACAUCAAAGCGAUGGGGGUGGCAUUCAAAAUAAACACAUUUCAUUUAAUGCAGUUCGAUGGAAUUUUAUGAUGAAAGUGAUGAACAUCUCUCACUUCUGGUGGAAUUGGUGUAUAUUUUUGGACAGAAUGAUGAGUAACAAUAAAC